RNAcentral lists this small RNA (47 nucleotides) under Rhodopirellula maiorica SM1. Its description in RNAcentral is "Acido-Lenti-1 RNA". It matches the Rfam family "Acido-Lenti-1 RNA". Lineage: Bacteria; Pseudomonadati; Planctomycetota; Planctomycetia; Pirellulales; Pirellulaceae. The record is from Rfam by way of RNAcentral.
CCCACGACUUACGUCGUGGGCUAAGUGAUGGCGUCGCUACCGCGACU